This is a long non-coding RNA of Gossypium arboreum, 451 nucleotides long. RefSeq lists it as uncharacterized. Lineage: Eukaryota; Viridiplantae; Streptophyta; Magnoliopsida; Malvales; Malvaceae. The record is from RefSeq and is a predicted model, not a curated record. The transcript has 4 exons.
CCCUUCACCCUUUUUCUUUGUGCCAUCCAUUAAAGAGAAAAAUCCCUAAGCAUCAUCCUGCAAUUUUUGGUCUUCAACUCUAAUCCUCUUGAUUUCGACCAUCUUUCUCAUAUCAAAUCUCCUCAAAAUUUAAAAGGAAACACCAAGAGCACCAUUAAUUUCUUUUUCAUCCAACUUGUGGGUUUUCUCGAAUUUUCCAUAAAAUGUUCGUUUUUCCCCUCAAUCAAGGAGUCGAUCAUGUGGUUGGAAUUAACGUUCAUCGAUUUGACUCGAAGUGGUGAUCGUUUGGUAAGCGUAUAAGUAGUGAAUCAUUUCGAUUGCUAUCUCCCUCAUGUUGAGUAAUGGUGGAAUUGUGCGAAGUUAGAAGGUAAUCCCCAGGCUUAGGCAGAUCGACGCAGCGGAGGGCUUGAUGGUGACCCACACUAUUGAACUACAAAACUAAGUAUGCAAA